Molecule: transfer RNA, 72 nt
Filed under: Camelus bactrianus (Bactrian camel)
Lineage: Eukaryota; Metazoa; Chordata; Mammalia; Artiodactyla; Camelidae
Also listed under: 2 other names
Rfam family: tRNA
About the family: Transfer RNA (tRNA) molecules are approximately 80 nucleotides in length. Their secondary structure includes four short double-helical elements and three loops (D, anti-codon, and T loops).
Source: Rfam by way of RNAcentral
GUGGGUAUAGCUCAGUGGUAGAGUGCGUGCUUGGCUUGCAUGAGGUUCUGGGUUCAACCCCUGGUACCUCCA